UGGGGGAUAUUGCACAAUGGGGGAAACCCUGAUGCAGCGACGCCGCGUGGGCGAAGAAGUAUUUCGGUAUGUAAAGCCCUAUCAGCAGGGAAGAAUAAAUGACGGUACCUGAGUCAGAAGCACCGGCUAAAUACGUGCCAGCAGCCGCGGUAAUACGUAUGGUGCAAGCGUUAUCCGGAUUUACUGGGUGUAAAGGGAGCGCAGGCGGCACGGCAAGCCUGAUGUGAAAGCCCGCGGCCCAACCGCGGGACUGCAUUGGGAACUACCGGGCUGGAGUGCCGGAGAGGUAGGCGGAAUUCCUAGUGUAGCGGUGAAAUGCGUAGAUAUUAGGAGGAACACCAGUGGCGAAGGCGGCCUACUGGACGGUGACUGACGCUGAGGCUCGAAAGCGUGGGGAGCAAACAGG
This 406-nucleotide ribosomal RNA is filed under the name uncultured bacterium. RNAcentral's name for it is "bacterial SSU rRNA". It matches the Rfam family "Bacterial small subunit ribosomal RNA", at positions 355 to 776 of the family's 1533-position model. The record is from RNAcentral.